GAUCAUGGCUCAGGAUGAACGCUGGCGGCGUGCUUAACACAUGCAAGUCGAGCGAAGCAAUUUAAGUGAAGUUUUCGGAUGGAUCUUAGAUUGACUGAGCGGGCGGACGGGUGAAGGUAACGCGUGGAUAACCUGCCUCACACAGGGGGAUAACAGUUAGAAAUGACUGCUAAUACCGCAUAAGCGCACGGUACCGCAUGGUGCAGUGUGAAAAACUCCGGU
RNAcentral lists this ribosomal RNA (222 nucleotides) under uncultured bacterium. RNAcentral describes it as "partial 16S ribosomal RNA". It matches the Rfam family "Bacterial small subunit ribosomal RNA", at positions 15 to 216 of the family's 1533-position model. The record is from RNAcentral.